This 464-nucleotide long non-coding RNA is filed under the name Nicotiana benthamiana. RNAcentral describes it as "long non-coding RNA (NBEN_LNC020860)". The record is from RNAcentral. Lineage: Eukaryota; Viridiplantae; Streptophyta; Magnoliopsida; Solanales; Solanaceae.
AUGCGAAUAUUAAACAUAGAAAUUGAAAAGGUGAGAAUGGCUCUUAAUUGGCUAUUUUAUUCAAACCGUAGAACUAGACUUAGAUAGUAUUUUUAAAAAUGUGACGAAUAUGGUCUUAGAGAAAGAAAGGUUCUUAAACCUUUCCCGACUAGGUGGAAUUGCAUGUACGAAAGUUUAGUAGUUGCGUAUGAAUAUAAAAACCCAAUUAAUGCUACGUUUAAUUCUCGGGUAGGUGGUGAGGAUGAUGAUGAAAUACUAACUACCCAAUAUUAGACUAAUGUUAAAAUUCUUUUAGAUUUUUUAGAACAAUUUCAAGUUGCUAUAAAUGCAUUUUCUGGGCAACAUUAUCCUACUAUUUCAAACUGUUUAGUUUUUAUUACCGCACCAGCUGAUUGUUUUGUUGAAUUUAGCGAGUGUGGGGAUAUUUAUGAACUUGCUAUAAAUGAAAUGAAACAAAAGUUUAA